CAUGCAAGUCGAACGGCAGCGCGGGCUUCGGCCUGGCGGCGAGUGGCGAACGGGUGAGUAAUAUAUCGGAACGUGCCCAAGAGUGGGGGAUAACGUAGCGAAAGUUACGCUAAUACCGCAUACGAUCUACGGAUGAAAGCAGGGGACCUUCGGGCCUUGUGCUCCUGGAGCGGCCGAUAUCUGAUUAGCUAGUUGGUGAGGUAAAGGCUCACCAAGGCGACGAUCAGUAGCUGGUCUGAGAGGACGACCAGCCACACUGGAACUGAGACACGGUCCAGACUCCUACGGGAGGCAGCAGUGGGGAAUUUUGGACAAUGGGGGCAACCCUGAUCCAGCAAUGCCGCGUGAGUGAAGAAGGCCUUCGGGUUGUAAAGCUCUUUUGUCAGGGAAGAAAAGGUCGUGGCUAAUAUCCACGGCUCAUGACGGUACCUGAAGAAUAAGCACCGGCUAACUACGUGCCAGCAGCCGCGGUAAUACGUAGGGUGCAAGCGUUAAUCGGAAUUACUGGGCGUAAAGCGUGCGCAGGCGGUUUUGUAAGUCUGUCGUGAAAUCCCCGGGCUUAACCUGGGAAUGGCGAUGGAGACUGCAAGGCUGGAAUCUGGCAGAGGGGGGUAGAAUUCCACGUGUAGCAGUGAAAUGCGUAGAGAUGUGGAGGAACACCGAUGGCGAAGGCAGCCCCCUGGGCUAAGAUUGACGCUCAUGCACGAAAGCGUGGGGAGCAAACAGGAUUAGAUACCCUGGUAGUCCACGCCCUAAACGAUGUCUACUAGUUGUUGGGUCUUAAUUGACUUAGUAACGCAGCUAACGCGUGAAGUAGACCGCCUGGGGAGUACGGUCGCAAGAUUAAAACUCAAAGGAAUUGACGGGGACCCGCACAAGCGGUGGAUGAUGUGGAUUAAUUC
This 902-nucleotide ribosomal RNA is filed under the name Massilia sp. FRT-Slr-5. Its description in RNAcentral is "bacterial SSU rRNA". It matches the Rfam family "Bacterial small subunit ribosomal RNA", at positions 54 to 952 of the family's 1533-position model. Lineage: Bacteria; Pseudomonadati; Pseudomonadota; Betaproteobacteria; Burkholderiales; Oxalobacteraceae. The record is from RNAcentral.